AGCUGCUUUCCUCAUUUUUUUCAAUUGGUUAGUACUUUAGAGAUCUUAGGAAUAAAUUUUUUUUGUUGAAUUUACAACUCGAUAAAUCCAAAAAGUAAAAACCCCUUGAUGUUCAAAUGAAAAUAGAGUUUUUUUUAGGAAAAAGUGUAAUGAAUUUCAGACUUAACCAUAAACAAUUUCAAUUUAUAAGAGUCUAUCAAAAUUAUGAAUGAAAACGAUGAAUUACAAACCAAUUUGAAGAAGUGGGGUAUGUACCUGUCUUUUGAAGAUAGUUGAAGAUCUUUUAAAAUGUACAAGAUUGAAAGAUUUCUAUCAAUGGCCUUCGACUAUUUCAACGACUUUGGAAAAACUUCGUACAAAAUUUCAUGAAGAAUUACAGAAAUACUCAACAUUUCAGUGACAGCACAUUCAAUCAAGAGAUUUUGCAUGUGUAAAAAUGGUCUCAAUGAUUUAUUAUAACAACGUAGUGGCUUUGAAAUAUUUUUAUUUUACAUAUAAUGGGGUGGGAAAUAGAGAGUUUACUAAAAUUGGAUAAGACUUGAUGACACACAAUUUAUGAUUUGUCUAUUUCGUAAUUUUAUCAUAUAGAAUAGUUGCCAUUAUAAGUGAAAAGUGGUAAAAAAACAUUUCAAAAGCCACUAUAAUUGAAUGCUUCGUUCGAAAUUUCAUGUUGUCAGAAACAGAACAUAGAAAAAAAAAAUUUAAUAUGUCGGCACAGCAGAUUGGAUCAUGUUAAGAUAUUGAACGUAGAUGUCUAAUAACAAUUUCAUGAAAAUUGAUUGAAAAUUUCAU
Molecule: long non-coding RNA, 792 nt
Organism: Harmonia axyridis
Lineage: Eukaryota; Metazoa; Arthropoda; Insecta; Coleoptera; Coccinellidae
Exons: 3
Source: RefSeq, a predicted model, not a curated record